Molecule: small nucleolar RNA, 107 nt
Filed under: Gossypium hirsutum (cotton)
Lineage: Eukaryota; Viridiplantae; Streptophyta; Magnoliopsida; Malvales; Malvaceae
Description: Plant small nucleolar RNA R71
Rfam family: Plant small nucleolar RNA R71
About the family: R71 is a member of the C/D box family of snoRNAs containing the C (UGAUGA) and D (CUGA) box motifs. Multiple nearly identical copies of this snoRNA have been identified in Arabidopsis, and it is thought to function as a 2'-O-ribose methylation guide for 18S ribosomal RNA.
Source: Rfam by way of RNAcentral
AAUCCAUGCAUUAGACAUUUUUGACGUAAUUCUUUAAAUCGUUCCCAAGCAUCAUAUAUCGUUUCAUCCUCUGAUUUUCAAAAAGAUGUGAUGCCAUUUCUAAUCUU